Molecule: long non-coding RNA, 1166 nt
Filed under: Gallus gallus (chicken)
Lineage: Eukaryota; Metazoa; Chordata; Aves; Galliformes; Phasianidae
Description: long non-coding RNA NONGGAT002871
Source: RNAcentral
AUCUGUCCUGAGCUCCAAUUCCUGCUCCUGGGCAGGGAACGGUCACACUCACUCCAUUCCACGCCAUAGUGAUUGCUUCAGGUAUUGGGCAGGUGCCCCUUGGUGGGGGCCUGACAGCUGCCCUACCACCUUCAACUCUUUGGGGGUUCACAGUGCACAUGGAUGCCCUGACCGAAAUUCCUCGCCCUAAACCUCUCUCUAGCUCCAGACAGAGCCACGGGAAGCCUGGGAAUCAUCUGCAUGCUCAGUGGUCCCUAAAGCCUCAGGACUCCCCAGUUACUGCAGCCUGUGCAUGCCCACUCAGAAACAACAGGAAAUACUGCUGAGCACAGCUUCCUACCCAGCACGACGUGUGCUGCCCAGGCGAUAAUGGCUCUGCAAAAGGAGGCUCUGAAGAGACCUGGCAUAAUGGGAUCACGAGCAGUGCGAGGAAGCAAUGGUUUCAAAGCACCAUCCACCCAAAAAAACCCACACCAGGGAAAGGGCUGAAGUGGGACAGUCCCAGUGCUUCCCACCAGGGAGAGAGAACGGAGUAGCACUUACCCCAGGACAGGAGCAGCAGGGUAAGGAAGGUGAGCAGCACGUAGCAGAGGGUGAGCGCCAUGCCCUGCCGGCAGCGGAGACAGGAGGCAGCCCCUUGUUUUUCACCUCGCAGAGGUACCGCCCGCACAGUGCGCGCGCAGAACGGUGUGAAACAGCUCCACCGAUAACUGUCAGCACGAGCCGGCCUCGUCCUGCAGCAUGGCUUUGUCCCACCGGGGUCACAUCGCUGCUUGAGACCGUAUCCAGGGGGCAGGAGGCUGCAGGCACCGCCGUGCUGGGGUCUGCUCAAUGGCAUGGGGUCACUCCAGGCCUCUCCGCUAAAGAGGAGCCCCGGUUUGUUCCCAGCUCCGUUCAGAAGUGGGAGAAAAGCCUGUGAGCAGGAGGCCAUGGCCCCUGGGGGGCAGAGGGCAACGCUCCUUCACAAUGCUUCACCAUCUGCUCCAGCUUCCCACCAAGCUGCCUCCUGCACAAGGCUGAGGCCACAGGACAGGGCACAGGACAGGGGUGCCAAUGCUGGGGCAAGGGGGCAAUUUCCUUUUAAUAAGAAGCUUUUUAAUUACAGGAAUAUGCUCUCUGUGCUUGUUCUGCUUACUCCAGGGACUCUCCCGACACACGCUGCGCUC